RNAcentral lists this ribosomal RNA (879 nucleotides) under uncultured bacterium. Its description in RNAcentral is "bacterial SSU rRNA". It matches the Rfam family "Bacterial small subunit ribosomal RNA", at positions 28 to 875 of the family's 1533-position model. The record is from RNAcentral.
GACGAACGCUGGCGGCGUGCCUAAUACAUGCAAGUCGAACGAAACUUUCUUACACCGAAUGCUUGCAUUCACCGUAAGAAGUUGAGUGGCGGACGGGUGAGUAACACGUGGGUAACCUGCCUAAAAGAAGGGGAUAACACUUGGAAACAGGUGCUAAUACCGUAUAUCUCUAAGGAUCGCAUGAUCCUUAGAUGAAAGAUGGUUCUGCUAUCGCUUUUAGAUGGACCCGCGGCGUAUUAACUAGUUGGUGGGGUAACGGCCUACCAAGGUGAUGAUACGUAGCCGAACUGAGAGGUUGAUCGGCCACAUUGGGACUGAGACACGGCCCAAACUCCUACGGGAGGCAGCAGUAGGGAAUCUUCCACAAUGGACGCAAGUCUGAUGGAGCAACGCCGCGUGAGUGAAGGAGGUCUUCGGAUCGUAAAACUCUGUUGUUAGAGAAGAACACGAGUGAGAGUAACUGUUCAUUCGAUGACGGUAUCUAACCAGCAAGUCACGGCUAACUACGUGCCAGCAGCCGCGGUAAUACGUAGGUGGCAAGCGUUGUCCGGAUUUAUUGGGCGUAAAGGGAACGCAGGCGGUCUUUUAAGUCUGAUGUGAAAGCCUUCGGCUUAACCGGAGUAGUGCAUUGGAAACUGGAAGACUUGAGUGCAGAAGAGGAGAGUGGAACUCCAUGUGUAGCGGUGAAAUGCGUAGAUAUAUGGAAGAACACCAGUGGCGAAAGCGGCUCUCUGGUCUGUAACUGACGCUGAGGUUCGAAAGCGUGGGUAGCAAACAGGAUUAGAUACCCUGGUAGUCCACGCCGUAAACGAUGAAUGCUAGGUGUUGGAGGGUUUCCGCCCUUCAGUGCCGCAGCUAACGCAAUAAGCAUUCCGCCUG